This 58-nucleotide ribosomal RNA is filed under the name uncultured bacterium. RNAcentral's name for it is "partial 16S ribosomal RNA". The record is from RNAcentral.
GAGAGAGUCCCCCACAUUGGAACUGAGACACGGUCCAAACUCCUACGGGAGGCAGCAG